UGGGAGGAGAAGCUGUUGGUCCUGCCAA
RNAcentral lists this non-coding RNA (28 nucleotides) under Rattus norvegicus (Norway rat). The record is from RNAcentral. Lineage: Eukaryota; Metazoa; Chordata; Mammalia; Rodentia; Muridae.